This 1454-nucleotide ribosomal RNA is filed under the name Mycolicibacterium doricum. RNAcentral's name for it is "bacterial SSU rRNA". It matches the Rfam family "Bacterial small subunit ribosomal RNA". Lineage: Bacteria; Bacillati; Actinomycetota; Actinomycetes; Mycobacteriales; Mycobacteriaceae. The record is from RNAcentral.
UUGGAGAGUUUGAUUCUGGCUCAGGACGAACGCUGGCGGCGUGCUUAACACAUGCAAGUCGAACGGAAAGGCCCUUCGGGGUGCUCGAGUGGCGAACGGGUGAGUAACACGUGGGUGAUCUGCCCUGCACUUUGGGAUAAGCCUGGGAAACUGGGUCUAAUACCGAAUACACCCUGCUGGUUGCAUGACCUGGUGGGGGAAAGCUUUUGCGGUGUGGGAUGGGCCCGCGGCCUAUCAGCUUGUUGGUGAGGUUACGGCUCACCAAGGCGACGACGGGUAGCCGGCCUGAGAGGGUGAUCGGCCACACUGGGACUGAGAUACGGCCCAGACUCCUACGGGAGGCAGCAGUGGGGAAUAUUGCACAAUGGGCGCAAGCCUGAUGCAGCGACGCCGCGUGGGGGAUGACGGCCUUCGGGUUGUAAACCUCUUUCAGUAGGGACGAAGCGUGAGUGACGGUACCUACAGAAGAAGGACCGGCCAACUACGUGCCAGCAGCCGCGGUAAUACGUAGGGUCCGAGCGUUGUCCGGAAUUACUGGGCGUAAAGAGCUCGUAGGUGGUUUGUCGCGUUGUUCGUGAAAACCGGGGGCUUAACCCUCGGCGUGCGGGCGAUACGGGCAGACUUGAGUACUGCAGGGGAGACUGGAAUUCCCGGUGGAAUGUCUCUGGGGUGACGCUGGGACUGCGUGGGGAGCGAACAGGAUUAGAUACCCUGGUAGUCCACGCCGUAAACGGUGGGUACUAGGUGUGGGUUUCCUUCCUUGGGAUCCGUGCCGUAGCUAACGCAUUAACCCCGCCUGGGAGUACGGCCGCAAGGCUAAAACUCAAAGAAAUUGACGGGGCCCGCACAAGCGGCGGAGCAUGUGGAUUAAUUCGAUGCAACGCGAAGAAACCUGGGUUUGACAUGCGCAGGACGCCGGUAGAGAUAUCGGUUCCCUUGUGGCCUGUGUGCAGGUGGUGCAUGGCUGUCGUCAGCUCGUGUCGUGAGAUGUUGGGUUAAGUCCCGCAACGAGCGCAACCCUUGUCUCAUGUUGCCAGCACGUGAUGGUGGGGACUCGUGAGAGACUGCCGGGGUCAACUCGGAGGAAGGUGGGGAUGACGUCAAGUCAUCAUGCCCCUUAUGUCCAGGGCUUCACACAUGCUACAAUGGCCGGUACAAAGGGCUGCGAUGCCGUGAGGUGGAGCGAAUCCUUUCAAAGCCGGUCUCAGUUCGGAUCGGGGUCUGCAACUCGACCCCGUGAAGUCGGAGUCGCUAGUAAUCGCAGAUCAGCAACGCUGCGGUGAAUACGUUCCCGGGCCUUGUACACACCGCCCGUCACGUCAUGAAAGUCGGUAACACCCGAAGCCGGUGGCCUAACCCUGUGUGGGAGGGAGCCGUCGAAGGUGGGAUCGGCGAUUGGGACGAAGUCGUAACAAGGUAGCCGUACCGGAAGGUGCGGCUGGAUCACCUCCUUU